UGGGCGCGCCAACUUGUCGGGCUCCAGCCUCACGUCAGGUCGGUGAGCUACUGUAGCAACCGACUUCUCUUUUCCUGUAGAUAAGUUGCUGUGGGGAGGCCUGCACUCCAGGCACCUCCAAAAUUCCUGGCAUAUGCGGUCAAAGUUAGUGUUGAAGCGCUCCCUCCAGGCCUCCGGGCUCUUCUGGGGCUUCAGUGGUAGUGGCUCGGUGACCAUCUUGGAUUCAGCUUGCGGUCUACAUUCAGGCUGGGCACUCUCCCGUUGCUGGUGUGAGAGUUUCUCCAGCGGGGACCGGGAUGACCCCCACCGGUCCAUGGGGGGGGGAUGCGGCAUCGGGAUGGUUGCCGCUUUGUGCGGUCCCCACGCUAGGCCUCAGUGUGGGAUGCUUUAUGGCUC
This is a non-coding RNA of Pelobates cultripes (western spadefoot toad), 396 nucleotides long. NCBI's taxonomy places the organism in Eukaryota, Metazoa, Chordata, Amphibia, Anura, Pelobatidae. The record is from the annotation of a GenBank genome assembly.